Oncorhynchus keta (chum salmon) is the source of this 1472-nucleotide long non-coding RNA. RefSeq lists it as uncharacterized. Lineage: Eukaryota; Metazoa; Chordata; Actinopteri; Salmoniformes; Salmonidae. The transcript is spliced from 4 exons. The record is from RefSeq and is a predicted model, not a curated record.
AAUAUGGAGUUGGUCCCCCUUUGCUGCUAUAACAGCCUCCACUCUUCUGCUAAGUCAUUAAUAUGGAGUUGGUCCCCCUUUGCUGCUAUAACAGCCUCCACUCUUCUGGGAAGUCAUUAAUAUAGAGUUGGUCCCCCCUUUGCUGCUAUAACAGCCUCCACUCUUCUGGGAAGGCUUUCCAGUAGAUGUUGGAACAUUGCUGCUAUAACAGCCUCCACUCUUCUGGGAAGGCUUUCCACUAGAUGUUGGAACAUUGCUGCUAUAACAGCCUCCACUCUUCUGGGAAGGCUUUCCAGUAGAUGUUGGAACAUUGCUGCUAUAACAGCCUCCACUCUUCUGGGAAGGCUUUCCAGUAGAUGUUGGAACAUUGCUGCUAUAACAGCCUCCACUCUUCUGGGAAGGCUUUCCACUAGAUGUUGGAACAUUGCUGCUAUAACAGCCUCCACUCUUCUGGGAAGGCUUUCCACUAGAUGUUGGAACAUUGCUGCGGGACUUGCUUCCAUUCAGCCACAACAGUAUUAGUGAGGUCGGGCACUGAUGUUGGGCGAUUAGUCCUGGCUAACAGUCGGCGUUCCAAUUCAUCCCAAAGGUGUUCGAUAGGGUUGAGGUCAGGGUUGUGUGGGCCAGUUAAGUUCUGCCACACUGUUCAACCAACCAUUUCUGUAUGGACUUCAAUUUGUGCAUGGGGGCGUUGUCAUUCUGAAUCAGGAAAGUGCCUUCACCAAAUUAUUGCCACAAAGUUUGCAGAAUCAUCUAGAAUAUCAUUGUAUUCUGUAGCGUUAAGAUUUUCCUUCACUGGAACUAAGGGGCCUGAACCAUAAACUGCCCCAGACCACCACAGUGCUUGUUAUUUUGGCACGGAACGGCGGACUAUUCUCCACGUUCAGAAAGGGCCAGUCUGGAUUAAUAAGUUAAAUAGCCCUGGUCCAAAGGUACUGCAUCUGGCCACCAGUUAAAUAGCCCCGGUUCAAAGGUACUGCAUCUGGCCACCACCAGUUAAAUAGCCCUGGUCCAAAGGUACUGCAUCUGGCCACCAGUUAAAUAGCCCUGGUCCAAAGGUACUGCAUCUGGCCACCAGUUAAAUAGCCCUGGUUCAAAGGUACUGUUACCACCGCCUGGAAGCCUCACAGUUCUCUAUAGGGUUAGAUAUAUACUGUACCUAACCCAUAGGGAGAGAUAACGUACCUAUAGAGAUAAUUACAGCGCUCACUCUAGGGCUAUCAGACAUAGAACAGACAAAGUUCCCAUUCUACAGGGGCUGCCCAUCUUAUCGCAAUGACUACUCACCCUGAUAAAGUCCACCAGACUGUUGUAGAUGUAGGAUCCUUUAGGCAGGAAGAAACAACUGCCUGGAGACAGAUCAUGGAAGAAGAACAGAUCCUGUUCCUGUAGCAGAGAGUUGAAUGAUCAGUGUUACCCUACAGCAGAUACUAACCAGGAGGACAUCUGCACCACGUCACUGAUCAGUUCCC